AGUGAACGCUGGCGGUAGGCCUAACACAUGCAAGUCGAACGGCAGCACAGUAAGAGCUUGCUCUUACGGGUGGCGAGUGGCGGACGGGUGAGGAAUACAUCGGAAUCUACUUUUUCGUGGGGGAUAACGUAGGGAAACUUACGCUAAUACCGCAUACGGCCUACGGGUGAAAGCAGGGGAUCUUCGGACCUUGCGCGAUUGAAUGAGCCGAUGUCGGAUUAGCUAGUUGGCGGGGUAAAGGCCCACCAAGGCGACGAUCCGUAGCUGGUCUGAGAGGAUGAUCAGCCACACUGGAACUGAGACACGGUCCAGACUCCUACGGGAGGCAGCAGUGGGGAAUAUUGGACAAUGGGCGCAAGCCUGAUCCAGCCAAACCGCGUGGGUGAAGAAGGCCUUCGGGUUGUAAAGCCCUUUUGUUGGGAAAGAAAAGCAGCAGGUUAAUACCCCGCUGUUCUGACGGUACCCAAAGAAUAAGCACCGGCUAACUUCGUG
This 492-nucleotide ribosomal RNA is filed under the name uncultured bacterium. RNAcentral describes it as "partial 16S ribosomal RNA". It matches the Rfam family "Bacterial small subunit ribosomal RNA", at positions 29 to 507 of the family's 1533-position model. The record is from RNAcentral.